GCCGGAGUAGCACAGCGGUAGUGCAACGCAUUCGUAACGCGUAGGUCGGAAGUUCAAAUCUUCUCUUCGGCACCA
Molecule: transfer RNA, 75 nt
Filed under: Absicoccus porci
Lineage: Bacteria; Bacillati; Bacillota; Erysipelotrichia; Erysipelotrichales; Erysipelotrichaceae
Also listed under: 2 other names
Description: tRNA-Thr
Rfam family: tRNA
About the family: Transfer RNA (tRNA) molecules are approximately 80 nucleotides in length. Their secondary structure includes four short double-helical elements and three loops (D, anti-codon, and T loops).
Source: RNAcentral